Neofelis nebulosa (Clouded leopard) is the source of this 1736-nucleotide long non-coding RNA. RefSeq lists it as uncharacterized. The record is from RefSeq and is a predicted model, not a curated record. The transcript has 5 exons. NCBI's taxonomy places the organism in Eukaryota, Metazoa, Chordata, Mammalia, Carnivora, Felidae.
AUUUACACACAAUUUUUUCGUUAAGACUCAAUAUAGUAUUUUCCCAAGAUAUCUCUGUGGGUCACUGCAGAAUUGGGCAGAAUCAAGCCCAUUUGAUCCAUAGAAUAACUGGGCCAUGGACAAGGGUUAGGUCAUAGAGUUAAAGAAAAUACAAAUUGGAGAAUUCCAGAAUUUAGAAGAGGGAUACAGAUGUUACUAAGGAAAGAAUUCUAGGAUAUAAGAACUAAACACUGGUCCUUAUAGGAUCAGCUACACAAGCAGCAGGGGUGUCUCUUGGUUCAUAAGAGAUGGUUUAUAAAUAACACCUACUAUUUUGAACAGAAAAUUUCAAGAGGCAACCCAAUUCCAUCAUUCCAACUGGAAGAAGUAUGGGGACAGAGACAGGAUCUAACACACAUUUGCAAAAAAGCAUGCUGUAUAAAAUGGACUGAAAACAGACAGAAGUGGAAACAGGGAGUCCUGGUCUUCUAAAGUUGAGGCCAGCAUGCUGAAGAAAAAUAUUAAACUAUGUAUAACCCUGUGUCAACAUAUGAUGCUACUGGGAAUGAACAGGAUUUUGAAAAGACAGAAAAAAGAAGAGAAUGGAUGGGAGAACGAAACCAUGUCCUUCUAGAUCAGAACGAAAUCAAUCCUGCCACCCACAUCUGUGCUGCUUAACUACACUCGUGAGAAGAACACUGAACGCUUUUCGGAAUGGCAAUAGAGUCUACGAGAUGGACGGGCAAGACUUACGGUGACACUCCCUCCUUAGAAAACACACACACACACACACACACACACACACACACACACACACACACACACACAAAACACCCUCUACAUUCCCUUGAGUUUGAAAUGAAUUUCAUAAGUCUCUUCAGGCAUCUUUCUUUUAUUACAGCCCACAUUCAUAUUUCAGUAGAACAACUACAAGGGAGUCACUAAUUUUUUAUCUAAACUAUGACGUUUUGGCAAACGUUAUAUAACCAACUAUAAAUCCACAACAAGCCUCAAAUACUAAAGAGCUGGUAAUUAUAUGAUGAGAAACAGCUUGAUUAUGGGAGAGGCAAGGCGGGCUGUCAACAAACAAACAGCUGUUUCUUAUUGACAACCCAUAACUAGAUCGUGCAUCCCAACAAACUAAGGAGUUUGUUUCUGUUGUUGCUGUUGUGUUUGUUUUUAACUAUUCCACCCCCUUCCCCUCCCACGUCCAAAAUACUGAGUCGAUUUAAACAUUAGAUGCAAACCACAACAGAAGAAUCGGAUACACAAGGAUAACAAGUAAAGCACUACAGACUUAUAAAAAAAUUCUGUACGUAAUAACUAACAGAAGUUUAAAGUGUACUUUCCAAUUCAACUUCAAAUGGCUAUCUUUCCCUGUGCAACACGUCCUGUCAUUACUAUUUAUAAGAGGCAGCUCCGGCAAUGGGCCUGUUUCCUCAUUCUUGGAUUAUGACCACAGCAAUGCUGCCACUCUGAUCCUUUGUUCUGGAAGCUUUCUCCGUAGCUUCUUCCAUCCUCCCUGUUAGCAGCAGGGAAUGAGCAUGCUUAGAUCUGCCAGUGUGAACUCUAAGGUCCAUUGUAACUUGAAACUAAAUGAUUCUAGGAAUACUUGAUAAGCUUAGCGUAUGAAUCAAUAAUGGGAAUAAAAAGAACCUUAACAUCACAGGUUAAAAAAAAAUCCACAAACGUAAAUGGAAUCUUUAUUUGAUGUCCUCGUCAUAUGAAAUAAAAUCACUUUCACAUUUGCACCUUCA